AUGGCUAGGUAUCCCAGCCGCAUGCGGUCAUCCUGAGACCACUGUCCACAUCUCUCACAUGCUGCUACUAUUUGCUCUGAACUUGGACCAGCAUCAAUAUCCACAGCCAUCAACUCCCAGAAACGAGCCAACUCAUCUGUCACCUCUACAGCGGGAUUAUCCAGGUUCUUAAUAUAUUCACAGUUCAAACCAGUGAGGUGCUCGAACUCAAUCAGGGAAAACCUCACCGGUUCUGGACCAAUAAGACACCAGAGCUCAUACUUCUUCUUGAUAUCAAGCUGGUAACAGAGCAUAUAAUGAACUAGCCUUGACCCCCAUCCAAAUUUCAACUCCCAAAACUUGAUGAACAC
This 350-nucleotide long non-coding RNA is filed under the name Brassica napus (rape). RNAcentral's name for it is "long non-coding RNA (BNAP_LNC017493)". Lineage: Eukaryota; Viridiplantae; Streptophyta; Magnoliopsida; Brassicales; Brassicaceae. The record is from RNAcentral.